UGGGGAAUUUUGGACAAUGGGCGCAAGCCUGAUCCAGCCAUGCCGCGUGCGGGAAGAAGGCCUUCGGGUUGUAAACCGCUUUUGUCGGGGAAGAAAUCUUCUGAGUUAAUACCUCGGGAGGAUGACGGUACCUGAAGAAUAAGCACCGGCUAACUACGUGCCAGCAGCCGCGGUAAUACGUAGGGUGCAAGCGUUAAUCGGAAUUACUGGGCGUAAAGCGUGCGCAGGCGGUUUUGUAAGACAGAGGUGAAAUCCCCGGGCUCAACCUGGGAACUGCCUUUGUGACUGCAAGGCUUGAGUGCGGCAGAGGGGGGAUGGAAUUCCGCGUGUAGCAGUGAAAUGCGUAGAUAUGCGGAGGAACACCGAUGGCGAAGGCAAUCCCCUGGGCCUGCACUGACGCUCAUGCACGAAAGCGUGGGGAGCAAACAGGAUUAGAUACCCUGGUAGUCCACGCCCUAAACGAUGUCAACUGGUUGUUGGGAAGGUUCCUUCUCAGUAACGUAGCUAACGCGUGAGUUGACCGCCUGGGGAGUACGGCCGCAAGGUUG
Molecule: ribosomal RNA, 548 nt
Filed under: uncultured bacterium
Lineage: Bacteria
Description: partial 16S ribosomal RNA
Rfam family: Bacterial small subunit ribosomal RNA
Source: RNAcentral